CACGUAGGGGACGAGCGUUGUCCGGAUUCAUUGGGCGUAAAGCGCACGUAGGCGGUCAGGCAAGUCGGGUGUGAAAGCCCUGGGCUCAACCUGGGAAUUGCAUUCGAAACUAUCUGACUCGAGUAUGGGAGAGGGAAGCGGAAUUUCCGGUGUAGCGGUGAAAUGCGUAGAUAUCGGAAGGAACACCAGUGGCGAAGGCGGCUUCCUGGACUAAUACUGACGCUGAGGUGCGAAAGCGUGGGGAGCAAACAGG
Molecule: ribosomal RNA, 253 nt
Filed under: uncultured bacterium
Lineage: Bacteria
Description: partial 16S ribosomal RNA
Rfam family: Bacterial small subunit ribosomal RNA
Source: RNAcentral